CUAUCAUGCAAGUCGAGCGAACAGACGAGGAGCUUGCUCCUCUGACGUUAGCGGCGGACGGGUGAGUAGCACGUGGAUAACCUACCUAUAAGACUGGGAUAGCUUCGGGAAACCGGAGCUAAUACCGGAUAAUAUAUUGAACCGCAUGGUCCAAUAGUGAAAGACGGUUUUGCUGUCACUUAUAGAUGGAUCCGCGCCGCAUUAGCUAGUUGGUAAGGUAACGGCUUACCAAGACAACGAUGCGUAGCCGACCUGAGAGGGUGAUCGGCCACACUGGAACUGAGACACGGUCCAGACUCCUACGGGAGGCAGCAGUAGGGAAUCUUCCGCAAUGGGCGAAAGCCUGACGGAGCAACGCCGCGUGAGUGAUGAAGGUCUUCGGAUCGUAAACUCUGCUACUAGGGAAGAACAAAUGUGUAAGUAACUAUGCACGUCUUGACGGUACCUAAUCAGAAAGCCACGGCUAACUACGUGCCAGCAGCCGCGGUAAUACGUAGGUGGCAAGCGUUAUCCGGAAUUAUUGGGCGUAAAGCGCGCGUAGGUGGUUUUUUAAGUCUGAUAUGAAAGCCCACGGCUCAACCGUGGAGGGUCAUUGGAAACUGGAAAACUUGAGUGCAGAAGAGGAAAGUGGAAUUCCAUGUGUAGCGGUGAAAUGCGCAGAGAUAUGGAGGAACACCAGUGGCGAAGGCGACUUUCUGGUCUGUAACUGACGCUGAUGUGCGAAAGCGUGGAGAUCAAACAGGAUUAGAUACCCUGGUAGUCCACGCCGUAAACGAUGAGUGCUAAGUGUUAAGGGGUUUCCGCCCCUUAGUGCUGCAGCUAACGCAUUAAGCACUCCGCCUGGGGAGUACGACCGCAAGGCUGAAACUCCAUGGAAUUGACGGGGG
Molecule: ribosomal RNA, 887 nt
Filed under: uncultured bacterium
Lineage: Bacteria
Description: bacterial SSU rRNA
Rfam family: Bacterial small subunit ribosomal RNA
Source: RNAcentral